AUUGAACGCUGGCGGCAGGCCUAACACAUGCAAGUCGAACGGUAACAGGAAGAAGCUUGCUUCUUUGCUGACGAGUGGCGGACGGGUGAGUAAUGUCUGGGAAACUGCCUGAUGGAGGGGGAUAACUACUGGAAACGGUAGCUAAUACCGCAUAACGUCGCAAGACCAAAAAGGGGGACCUUCGGGCCUCUUGCCAUCGGAUGUGCCCAGAUGGGAUUAGCUAGUAGGUGGGGUAACGGCUCACCUAGGCGACAAUCCCUAGCUGGUCUGAGAGGAUGACCAGCCACACUGGAACUGAGACACGGUCCAGACUCCUACGGGAGGCAGCAGUGGGGAAUAUUGCACAAUGGGCGCAAGCCUGAUGCAGCCAUGCCGCGUGUAUGAAGAAGGCCUUCGGGUUGUAAAGUACUUUCAGCGGGGAGGAAGGGAGUAAAGUUAAUACCUUUGCUCAUUGACGUUACCCGCAGAAGAAGCACCGGCUAACUCCGUG
RNAcentral lists this ribosomal RNA (490 nucleotides) under uncultured bacterium. RNAcentral describes it as "partial 16S ribosomal RNA". It matches the Rfam family "Bacterial small subunit ribosomal RNA", at positions 30 to 507 of the family's 1533-position model. The record is from RNAcentral.